AGUGAACGCUGGCGGUAGGCCUAACACAUGCAAGUCGAACGGCAGCACAGUAAGAGCUUGCUCUUACGGGUGGCGAGUGGCGGACGGGUGAGGAAUACAUCGGAAUCUACUUUUUCGUGGGGGAUAACGUAGGGAAACUUACGCUAAUACCGCAUACGACCUACGGGUGAAAGCAGGGGAUCUUCGGACCUUGCGCGAUUGAAUGAGCCGAUGUCGGAUUAGCUAGUUGGCGGGGUAAAGGCCCACCAAGGCGACGAUCCGCAGCUGGUCUGAGAGGAUGAUCAGCCACACUGGAAGUGAGACACGGUCCAGACUCCUACGGGAGGCAGCAGUGGGGAAUAUUGGACAAUGGGCGCAAGCCUGAUCCAGCCAUACCGCGUGGGUGAAGAAGGCCUUCGGGUUGUAAAGCCCUUUUGUUGGGAAAGAAAAGCAGCAGGUUAAUACCCCGCUGUUCUGACGGUACCCAAAGAAUAAGCACCGGCUAACUUCGUG
RNAcentral lists this ribosomal RNA (492 nucleotides) under uncultured bacterium. RNAcentral describes it as "partial 16S ribosomal RNA". It matches the Rfam family "Bacterial small subunit ribosomal RNA", at positions 29 to 507 of the family's 1533-position model. The record is from RNAcentral.